UCAAGAACAUUCGACAAUGGGCGAAAGCCUGAUCGAGCGACGCCGCGUGCAGGAUGAAGGCCCUCGGGUUGUAAACUGCGGUAGUAGGGGAGGAACGCAAGUGACUGUACCCUAUGGAAAGAGGUUGGUAACUACGUGCCAGCACCAGCGGUAAUACGUAGACCUCAAGCGUUAUCCGGAUUUAUUGGGCGUAAAGCGCAUGUAGGAGGUCCGGUGCGUCUCUGGUUAAAGCCCACUGCCCAACGGUGGAAAUGCCAGAGAUACGAUCGGACUGGAGGAUGUGAGAGGUGCAUGGAACUCACGGUGUAGGGGUGAAAUCCGUUGAUAUCGUGGGGAACACCAAAGGCGAAGGCAGUGCACUGGUACAUUCCUGACUCUGAGAUGCGAAAGCGUGGGGAGC
RNAcentral lists this ribosomal RNA (400 nucleotides) under uncultured bacterium. RNAcentral describes it as "bacterial SSU rRNA". It matches the Rfam family "Bacterial small subunit ribosomal RNA", at positions 355 to 769 of the family's 1533-position model. The record is from RNAcentral.